CAUCUCAUCUCUCUCUCUCUCUCUCUCUCUCUCUCUCUCUCUCUAUUUUCGCAACAAUGGCGGAGGAGGAGCGUGGUCUCCAUGCGACCCCUCGCCUCGUCCACCUCAUCGCGCGUCCGCAUACGACGCCGACUAUGAGGCAACAAGCUACUGCUAUGAACCCUAGUAUCCUCGGUGGGUGCGGUGGCCGGAGGGCCUAGCGCCGCCGCGGCGCACCGGGAGGGGUUUGAAGCCAAAUCCUAGACCUGGUCCACCGCGCCAUCCGUGGACCGAGCCAAUCGGAUCGCAUCCUGUGGAAAUUGUAUGUAAGCGUUGCACUAUUCUUUCUUUUCCUCAUCACAAUGAACAUAUCCUUCAAAAAUUUUCAUUCAUUUUCUUUUUUCCCCAAUGGAUCAUGAAAAAAGAAAGGGUAAACUUCAAAUUGCCCCCCGUGUUUUAGCUCAUUUUUACUUUGCCACUCCGUGAUUCCAAAAGUUUUACUCUUUUUUGCUCCCCUGUGGUUUAUAGCUCAUUUUCCAUUUAGGGUCCGUUUGGUUCAACGUAAAACUGUGAAAGAUAAUUUUCGGUGGAAAAGAAAUUUCGAUGGAAAAAAAAACGCUCUUUAACGUUUUAUUUGUAGGGGAAAAAAGGAGCUUUCCAAUGCUUGUUUGAUUGAAAGAAAAAAUUUGAAUGAAAAAUAAUUUUAAAUAUUUUUGUUCUGUUAUAUUAUGUAUCAUUAUUUAUAUAAAUAAUUAUCAUAUUAUAUUUAUAUAAUUAAUAUUUAUAUCUAUAUAUAUUAGUAUAAUCAUCAUCAUCAUCAUCAUCUAUAUGUAUUCCAGCCUAGUUCUAUAAUAUAUAAUAACAUGGAUAUAAUAUAUAAAUAUGAGGCCCGCUACAGUGCUAUCAAUAGCACCAAACACUUGAUGUUACCAAAUUUUUCUCCAUUAGAUCUAUCCCUUCGACUAGUUCCACUCCUUAGAUCAUAUUGUUCUACCAACCACUCACUAAACUCUAGAGGGAUCACUGUCAUUAUAACCGCACAUCCUUCAUCGAAGAGCCGAAAAACUGAUAGUACCUAUAACUUGGUGCUAUUAAUAGUAUUCUUGCCUAGUUCUAUAUAUAUAUAUAUAUAUAUAUAUAUAUAUAUAAAGAGGGUAAGAGACCAUCAUCCUCCAGAGAGUUUUCGUUCUCCGCCGAAAAACAGCGGAAAACGGAAACUUCAAAUUUUCCAUUUACGGCUCAAUUCUCUCUCUACUGAUGUUGGCAUGGCAGCUGGGUGGCCUGCUGUUGGGCAGGCUUGCUGCAGCUACACAGUCGUUACGAGAGUGGAAUCUCUGUUGAUCUUUUCAUCUCUCUACCUUUAACAUCUUUCUCACUUGCUGUUCUUUUUUCUGUUUUAUUUGGGGGGUUUCAGUUUGAUUUAUUGCAUAUAUUUUUUCUUAAAAUUUUGAUUUUGACUUUUCAACUCAAAUUGUUGGAUGAACAAUUUAGUAUUUGAAUCAUACUUUCCCUAUUUUUUGGAGCUUUUUGAGUAUCAAUAAAUCAAUUCUGUUGGAUAAAUUUCUUCUUCACUAUUUAUUUGGUGAGGGAAAAGGGAUGGCAUUACUUUGAGCGUUGCUUUUGUUCUACAUCGUUGAACUUACGAACAUGCCACAUCGGCCAUUAAAAUAGUCAUUUUGUCCAGGUAAUCUGAGCAUUGCUUUUGUUUUCUUUCCUUCCCUUUUGCUGAGAAAAUCGAAGGUAUUAUUGGAAGCUCGUCAUAUAUUCGUUAUCGUUUUGUUCUUGGUAUUACCAUUUUACCAUUUUAUCAAUUUGUAUUUGUUUCUUGUGAAUUCUUUGAUGAUCAUUUUGUUUUUCGAACUUUGAAAUUAGGUUUUUUUUUUCUUUCCACUCUCUCUUGUUGCAUUCACUGGUUCUUUUCCACUGAAACAGAGCAAAAGUUUCUUUCCCUCAAAAAAAAAUCCAAGGUGCCUGCUGGAUUUCUCUUAGAAAGAAGAAGAAGAAGAAGAAGAGGACAAAAGAAAAAAAAAGAAAAAGAAAGAGAGCAAAUGUGUCCCCUUUGGCCAUUUUCUGCAGGAAAAGAAAAACAAAGGCCUUCUUUCAACAUGACCUUAGUUGAGGGGCUUGUUCCCAGGAUUCCUCCUUGCCUGGGGCUGCAGGGCAGGGAAAUUGCAUUGCCACUUUAGCGGCUCUCUGUACAUUUUCGCCUGAAUGGCUUUGUCCUUGAACCAAAUGCUGCCUGGUUGUUGGCCAGAGAGGAAGUAGUUUGCCAUUUCUGCAACUCUUGCAGGCUGAUGACUCUCUCUCUCUCUCUCUCUCUCUCUCUCUCUCUCUCUCUCUCAAAAUGAGGGACGGAACUUGCAAAAUCGCAAAACUGGUGGAUUUUUUAUGCAAAUUGGCCUUUCUUCAACUCUAGAAAUAGACUUUUCUAUUUUUAAUUACCUUUGUAAUUUUAUGGAUUCUUUACAUGCAGAAGAGAGCAAAAGUUUCUUUCAAAAACUAAAAGGCAGGCAACAUGUUCAUAUCGUUAUCGUCGCAGCCGUUACCCUUUUCCCCAUUUUUGGCAAGUUAAAAAAAAAGACUUUGCGACAUGGACUAAGUUGAGGGGCUUAUUUUCAGAAUUUCUCCACCCCUGGGGCUCGAGGAUAGGUGAAUUGCAGCCUCGGUAAAGGGGGUCUCCAUGCAUUUUUACCUAAAUUGCCUUAUUCUAGAACCAAAUUCUGCCUGGUUGUUGGCCAGAGAGGAAGUGGACCUGCAUUUCGGCUACUCUUGUAG
RNAcentral lists this long non-coding RNA (2754 nucleotides) under Ananas comosus (pineapple). RNAcentral's name for it is "long non-coding RNA (ACOM_LNC009586)". Lineage: Eukaryota; Viridiplantae; Streptophyta; Magnoliopsida; Poales; Bromeliaceae. The record is from RNAcentral.